Non-coding RNA from Paramuricea clavata, 468 nucleotides. The record is from the annotation of a GenBank genome assembly. Lineage: Eukaryota; Metazoa; Cnidaria; Anthozoa; Malacalcyonacea; Plexauridae.
GCACGGAAAUGCCAUUUCCUGCAUUCUGAGCAACCCAAUUUGCUCCAAAAUGUAUGCUAACUAUACUUGUAUUUGAAAUAAAUGAAGGAAAAAACCAACAAAAUGUAAAAAAAAUAUUAACCAUAAUUUAUCAUUACUUAUUAGAGGAUACCAAUGGUCACGUGCGUAGGGGUGUACUCCCCCAGAAAAAUUUUGAAAUUUGAAACGCGGAAAUGCCAUUUUCUGCAUUCUGAGCAUCCAAAUUUGCUCUAAAAUUUAUGCUAACUAUACUUGUAUUUGAAAUAAAAGAAGGAAAAAAGGCACAAAAAGUAAAAAAGAAUAUUAACCGUAAUUUAUCAUUAUACCUAUUAGAGGGGGAUACCAAUGGCCGAAGGCCACGUGUGUGGGGGCAUAAUCUCCAGAAAAUUUUUCAAAUUUGAAACCGGGAAAUGCUCUUUCCUGCAUUCUGAGCAUCCAAAAAAGAACAAA